This is a long non-coding RNA of Salvelinus sp. IW2-2015, 2518 nucleotides long. RefSeq lists it as uncharacterized. NCBI's taxonomy places the organism in Eukaryota, Metazoa, Chordata, Actinopteri, Salmoniformes, Salmonidae. The record is from RefSeq and is a predicted model, not a curated record.
CCGGAGUCGCCUUUUCACUGUUGACGUUGAGACUGGUGUUUUGCAGCCAGGUGCUGCUCAGAGAGCUUUUUCCUAUCAACACAGCCCUUCCCCUGUGGAGCCACGCAGGUUGCGGGAAAAAACUUCUUCCCAUGCACAGCAGUCAGCUCUAUCCAGAUCCAGUCACAAGGCUCCUCCAAGGAAAUGAAGACGUCUCACCUAAUGGGAAGCCUAAUGACUAUGGACAGAUGGAAGACGGCUCCUUUUACCACAUAUAUGUUUCACUUUAAUGAAGGGACUGCUUGUUGACAGAUAACUGUUUGGAGAGGGGAGAGAGGGAGAGAGUGCGAUCUGUCACUGUGCUGAUUUUAUUCUCCACCGUCUGUGGAUUUGGGCUUGUAACACUCAAGGCUGAAAUGUAGUUUUUGUGAAAAUAUUAUUUGAUAUAAUACACUCACGGUACAGUACAUGUUAAUGCCUGUUUGUGGUUAGUGAUUUGCUCAAGCCGGUAGUCAUGGUUUUUAAUACAGUGUGUGUGAGCGCCCGCACGCUCCCAUGUUCGUGUGUGACUGGCGUAUGUGUCUGUGCUUCCGUGCUUUGUGUGAGUCUUUGUGCUUGUGUCUCAUGUCCAAUGUGUGUGUUUGUGACUAACAAUGGGCUACAGCCCUUUUCCCCUUCAUAAACACCAGGUCAAUAACCCCGCUAGGAUCCCUGCUCCCAACCAGACUGGUUAGAUGUCACAGUGUGUAAAAAUAGAAGCUGGCAAUUCAUCGCAUCCGAUUUUAUGAAGUAAUAUCGAGACUGGAACAACACAUUGGAGAGCUGGGGAAGAUUGGUGGUCCACCAGUCAGAUAUUUAGCUCAGCCUCGCUAUACAAUUGAUACCUGCUGUCGGGUGUCAAAAUAGUUUCCAAAAACCUGUCAUCUUUUACCACCUCCAUGAGAGCUCAAUAACCAACGUCAACAGCUAAAGUUUUAUUUGAAAGCUCGUCUUGUUCUUGACUUCUCCAAGACACAUCUUGCGUAUCUUGUUCCUAAUGCAUCAGAUGUUUUAGUUCCUUAGAUAAAAAUAUGGCGGUCAAUUAAAAACGGUAAGAAAUAUUUGUUUUUGUUGUGUUGUUUCCCUUCAGGAACAUAACAAGCAAGGUGUACUGAUCAAACCUAUCAAGACCUUGGAGAGCUUGGUCAACCAUGUACUCACUUAUAGUAGGAGUAGUAUAAAAUUGUCCAGUAGCACUCCCUGCAUGCGGUGACAAGCUGCAGUCAGACCUGGGAAACUGCAGUGCGCCACAAUUGUCAUCAUUGAAAAAUGGAGACGCAGUGGAGACGGGACAGAAAUAGCAGGUGGGCUACCACGCAAAAAUAAGUGGCACAUGUUGUCUUUCAGGGGUUGUUCCUACGUCUCCGACUGGGCAGGGCACCAUCAAUCACCAGUCUGUCCCCCCCAUCAGGGGCUCUGUUCAUACACUGACCCCGCCCAGCCGGGUCGCUCUUAACUUCAAAGAUGUACAGGGGGGUUGAGGGGUGUGUCAGUGAGGUACUCCGCCCAUUUUCUCAGGAAUGUCCUAUAAGUCACACAUACAACUUUGUUUACAGUUCUUGAUUCUAUUGUGCCUUUGACUAGAUCAAGUGUAUUUUACAUGUGAGACGGACUUUGAGUGAGGGGGUUUAAGGCUGUUUGCAAAGCAAAACUUGAAUUGAAAAGAUAUACUUUCUGUUGUGUGUAACAUCUGAAACCUAGUUUCGGUCUAUUACUUACAUGCUGUGCAGCAGGCAAUGGAUUGGAGUGGCAUCUUCAGUGAGGGACUCUCCCUCAGUAACCCAACUUUGUUUACAGUUCUUGUUGUUAUGGGGUCUUUGAAAUACUGGAUCAAGUGUAUUUUAGGAGUGAGAGGGACAGCUUGAAUUGAAAAAAAAUGURCGUUGCUUUAAGUGCAACAUUUGAAGUACAAGGUGAAAUUAAUUUUAGUGGCAUCAUCUGUAAAUGCUAGCUUAAUGAUGUCAUAGUCUGUGGUGCACAGAAAGUUCAAUCUGUACAAAGAGCACUUUCUACAGCUAAUCCAGCCAAAUACCUGACAGUGUCAAAAGCAGUAAAGUUCAUAUUUUCUACCUGCUAAGGCACAAAAGGUUGCUCAACAACAUCAUUCUGUCAAUAUAUGGGCAUUAUUUCCUCACAGACAAAAGUAAAAACCUAUUUUCAGCAAAAAUAAUGAAGMUUUUUCUCUGAAGAUCUGUAUGUUAUUAAUUCAUAGUAUUUACCAUUUCCAACGUUUCAAUAAUAAAUACUAAAAAGAAGACACCAGCCUUUCUACAGUCAUUAUCUAAAAAUAAGCCCCUUCCAAGUCCAUCCUCACUCCCCAUGUUAUAUGUGAGAAGAACCGUUGUGACGAGAAAAGGGGAAAUGUCAUGAUUUCUGCCAUGAAGUAGCCUCACCCCAUGGAGCGAGAUAGAGAAUGGAGUGGUGGCAUCACCGCAUGCAUAAUUCAUGAGUGUAAAUUAACCCUGAGUGGGGCUGCUCCAUCAAUCAGGGAAGAUGCCAU